CAAAGUGCACUGGCCGUAGACAAUGAACUGAAACAUUGGUGUAAUUUUAACAUGGCAAUGAGCAGGGGGGUGGAAUCAGUGCAGUGGAUGCUAAUUCACUUAAAUGCCUACCCUCUUGAUGGAAGAUGGGAAAUGCUUGGCCUAAAAAGAAAAGCCCUGGCGCAAAAAUGUGUGGACAGAAUCUUUUUCCAUUUUUCUGUGUUGGCAAACGUACAUGUCCAAACAUACAUUUUGUCAGCGGUAAAAAGGUGUAUUUCUAUGAGAAGCUUUGGAGGUGGAAUAGCGGCUUUUUUUUAGGCCCAACGAAGAGAAAUAAAUUGUUUCAUCUUCACACUGCAAUUCAUCACUAAGAGGUGUGAAUCUUCUUAGGGCCACAGAUCAGAGAAAAAAUCCACUCCCCACUGAGAGACAACGGAACGAUUUCCUAUCGGUUCCCAAGAUCCAAACGCUUCCAUGGUUUGCAACCUGCAUAAGUGUCUCCCAAGGCAGCGGAAGUCUUUGCCCCACAGCUCUCUGCAUAAACAGAGCAGCCUCCCUGAACAGCCGCUGGGUGUAAGCAACAAGGCUGGCCAUUGUGAGACCAACCGGACGACUGCUGCUUAAUGACUGUUCAUCAGGCAGACCAGUACAUUCCUAUCAUCUUCACAUAUGUUCAUACUUGUCCAAUUUCUUUUGUAUUAAUAUUGUUUUGUAUUA
RNAcentral lists this long non-coding RNA (696 nucleotides) under Salmo salar (Atlantic salmon). RNAcentral describes it as "lncRNA (ENSSSAG00000113791.1)". Lineage: Eukaryota; Metazoa; Chordata; Actinopteri; Salmoniformes; Salmonidae. The record is from RNAcentral.